GUAGUCCUGGCUGUAAACGAUGUCGACUUGGAGGUUGUGCCUUGAGGCGUGGCUUCCGGAGCUAACGCGUUAAGUCGACCGCCUGGGGAGUACGGCCGCAAGGUUAAAACUCAAAUGAAUUGACGGGGGCCCGCACAAGCGGUGGAGCAUGUGGUUUAAUUCGAUGCAACGCGAAGAACCUUACCUGGUCUUGACAUCCACGGAAGUUUUCAGAGAUGAGAAUGUGCCUUCGGGAACCGUGAGACAGGUGCUGCAUGGCUGUCGUCAGCUCGUGUUGUGAAAUGUUGGGUUAAGUCCCGCAACGAGCGCAACCCUUAUCCUUUGUUGCCAGCGGUCCGGCCGGGAACUCAAAGGAGACUGCCAGUGAUAAACUGGAGGAAGGUGGGGAUGACGUCAAGUCAUCAUGGCCCUUACGACCAGGGCUACACACGUGCUACAAUGGCGCAUACAAAGAGAAGCGACCUCGCGAGAGCAAGCGGACCUCAUAAAGUGCGUCGUAGUCCGGAUUGGAGUCUGCAACUCGACUCCAUGAAGUCGGAAUCGCUAGUAAUCGUGGAUCAGAAUGCCACGGUGAAUACGUUCCCGGGCCUUGUACACACCGCCCGUCACACCAUGGGAGUGGGUUGCAAAAGAAGUAGGUAGCUUAACCUUCGGGAGGGCGCUUACCACUUUGUGAUUCAUGACUGGGGUGAAGUCGUAACAAGGUAACCGUAGGGGAACCUGCGGCUGGAUCACCUCC
This 739-nucleotide ribosomal RNA is filed under the name uncultured bacterium. RNAcentral describes it as "bacterial SSU rRNA". It matches the Rfam family "Bacterial small subunit ribosomal RNA", at positions 790 to 1530 of the family's 1533-position model. The record is from RNAcentral.